RNAcentral lists this ribosomal RNA (484 nucleotides) under Ischnocodia annulus. RNAcentral's name for it is "partial 12S small subunit ribosomal RNA". Lineage: Eukaryota; Metazoa; Arthropoda; Insecta; Coleoptera; Chrysomelidae. The record is from RNAcentral.
ACUAAUAGUGCUAUUAAAUUUUUUUGGUUAUGAUUAAAAUUUUAAUAUAAAAAAUAAGAAUUUUUAGGUGAAAUUAAAAUUUUUAAAUAUUAUAAUUUAUUGAAGUCUGUAAGUUAAAUUUUAAAACUAGGAUUAGAUACCCUAUUAUUUUUAAUGUAAAAAUUAAUUCUUUAUUAUUAUUAGUUAUGUUCUAAAAAGUAAAAUAAUUUGGCGGUAUUUUUUACUUUUCAGAGGAAUCUGUUCUAUGAUUGAUAGUCCACGAUUUUAUUUACUUAUUUUUAGGUUUACAUAUCGUUGUUAAAAAUAUAUUUUUAGAUUAUGUUUAAGAUUUUAAUUAGGAAUUAAUUCAGAUCAAGGUGUAGCUAUAUUUAAGAAGAAAUGGAUUACUAUAAUAUUAAUUAAGGAUUUGAUUUUUUAAAAGUUGAUGAAUUUGGAUUUGAAAGUAAAUUUAUAUAUAUUUAUAAGUUGAUUAUAGUUCUAAAAU